CUGAGGAGCGAAAGCGUGGGGAGCGAACAGGAUUAGAUACCCUGGUAGUCCACGCCGUAAACGUUGGGCACUAGGUGUGGGGGGCAUUCCACGUCCUCCGCGCCGCAGCUAACGCAUUAAGUGCCCCGCCUGGGGAGUACGGCCGCAAGGCUAAAACUCAAAGGAAUUGACGGGGGCCCGCACAAGCGGCGGAGCAUGCGGAUUAAUUCGAUGCAACGCGAAGAACCUUACCAAGGCUUGACAUGGGCCGGACAGGGCUGGAGACAGUCCCUCCCUUCGGGGCCGGUCCACAGGUGGUGCAUGGUUGUCGUCAGCUCGUGUCGUGAGAUGUUGGGUUAAGUCCCGCAACGAGCGCAACCCUCGUUCCAUGUUGCCAGCACUUGAAGGUGGGGACUCAUGGGAGACUGCCGGGGUCAACUCGGAGGAAGGUGGGGACGACGUCAAAUCAUCAUGCCCCUUAUGCCUUGGGCUUCACGCAUGCUACAAUGGCCGGUACAAAGGGUUGCGAUGCUGUGAGGCUGAGCCAAUCCCANGAAAGCCGGUCUCAGUUCGG
RNAcentral lists this ribosomal RNA (553 nucleotides) under uncultured bacterium. RNAcentral describes it as "bacterial SSU rRNA". It matches the Rfam family "Bacterial small subunit ribosomal RNA", at positions 746 to 1296 of the family's 1533-position model. The record is from RNAcentral.